This 446-nucleotide ribosomal RNA is filed under the name uncultured bacterium. RNAcentral's name for it is "bacterial SSU rRNA". It matches the Rfam family "Bacterial small subunit ribosomal RNA", at positions 330 to 793 of the family's 1533-position model. The record is from RNAcentral.
CCCAGACUCCUACGGGAGGCAGCAGUGGGGAAUAUUGCACAAUGGGCGAAAGCCUGAUGCAGCGACGCCGCGUGAGUGAAGAAGUAUUUCGGUAUGUAAAGCUCUAUCAGCAGGAAAGAAAAUGACGGUACCUGACUAAGAAGCCCCGGCUAACUACGUGCCAGCAGCCGCGGUAAUACGUAGGGGGCAAGCGUUAUCCGGAUUUACUGGGUGUAAAGGGAGCGUAGACGGCAGCGCAAGUCUGGAGUGAAAUGCCGGGGCCCAACCCCGGAACUGCUCUGGAAACUGUGAAGCUGGAGUGCAGGAGAGGUAAGCGGAAUUCCUGGUGUAGCGGUGAAAUGCGUAGAUAUCAGGAGGAACACCGGCGGCGAAGGCGGCUUACUGGACUGUAACUGACGUUGAGGCUCGAAGGCGUGGGGAGCAAACAGGAUUAGAUACCCCCGUAA